UAUGUAACAUUUUGCCAACUCUUUUCUCGUACUCUUCUCUUUUUUACAUAUAUAAGCUAAAGAGAGAAACCUUGUCUAGAUAGAACAAUCAACAAGCAUGAGUUCAUGAGAUUCCGUCGGUUUCAUAGUUUUAACAUAUAAGCAAUUGCAGGUAUGUGUUGUUGCCACAACUCUUUAACCUCACACUUUUUUAUUUUUAUUUUUAUAUAUAUAUAAGCUAAAGAAAGAAACUGUCUUGACAGAACAAGCUGCAAGCUUGAGCUCUUGAAAUUCAGCUGGUUUCAUAGUUAGAACAUACAAGCAAUUCGCUCGUAACCUUAUCUAUCUUUCCUUGGAUAAUUUCGCGUCGCCUUUUAAAAUUCCUUAGCAAUCCCAGAUCUCUCUUAUGGUUUUAGACUCAGUUUUUGUUAUUAAACUAUAGAAAUUGCUCAUGGUUUUUUUUUACUCUAAAACUAACAACUUCUUGAGUUGCACGGAGAAGUUUUCUCAUCGAUUUGUAUACAUGCUAAACUCGGCUUGACUCAAUAUAUUGAUAUGAAAACUUGUAAUCCGAACCCAAACCCUAAUCCGAGCUAGAUUUUGAAUUAAACUGGAAAAAAUAUCGAUUCCGAUUGAUUCCAUCUAAGUUCGGACAAGAAAAAAAAUGAAUUCGUUUUAAUAAAAACAACUUAAACUCAAUUAACCCGAUAACUCGUAUGUUGACUCAUCACUCUAAUGACAUAUAUAUACUUUCCCAUAUCAAUCCUUGUAACCGAUCUGGUUCUAUGGCUCAUUAUGUCCCUCACGGGUUCUCCUAAAGUGAAAAAGAUCACCAUCAUAAAGAAAGGCAUUUUGCUAUCUUCCUCAUAAAAAUAAAAAUAGCAAAAUCCCCUGUGGCCCACCAAAUGUUUCUGAUAUAUAAAAAUUAAAAUAGGUUUCUGAUAUUUUUAUGACCUUGUGGCCCCCCAAAUGUUUCUGAUAUUUUUAUGACCUUGUGGCCCACCAAAUGUUUCUGAUAUUUUUAUGAGUUGCCACGCUUACAUUAAGUGACUGUUUCAAUGUGAUAAUCAGACGGUUGAGGUGAAGGUCCGCUUAGACUGUGAAGGAUGUGAGCGCAAAGUGAAGAGAUCACUCGAG
RNAcentral lists this long non-coding RNA (1116 nucleotides) under Populus tremula. RNAcentral describes it as "long non-coding RNA (PTRE_LNC002878)". The record is from RNAcentral. Lineage: Eukaryota; Viridiplantae; Streptophyta; Magnoliopsida; Malpighiales; Salicaceae.